This 500-nucleotide long non-coding RNA is filed under the name Brassica napus (rape). Its description in RNAcentral is "long non-coding RNA (BNAP_LNC016004)". Lineage: Eukaryota; Viridiplantae; Streptophyta; Magnoliopsida; Brassicales; Brassicaceae. The record is from RNAcentral.
CCAGCCCAGGUUCCUUGGGAGUAAGUUAAACAUUCCUUGAUAUAAUCUUGUUAUAUCCUAGGGUCAGUCUAAAUUGCUAUAAUUGUUGAAUUGGGUUUCUAUUCCAGGUUGCUGAAGAGUCUUGUGUUAUAAAUUGAUGAUAUCUGCUCCUGUGGUUAUAUUCAUGACUGUUAGAACUGUUUUAAAAUUCGUUUUGCAUUAACAAUUUGUUGUCUUAAGGUUGAUGAAACUAGAUUCAUAUCAAGGUUGAAGGUCAUAUCAAUCGUGUUUUUAGUACUGAUGUGUUUGAUACUGAUCAUGCAUAAGCAUUUAGUGAUCUAUUGCCUGAUUGCAUUUGCAUUUAGAGAGGAUGCAUUCAUAGAAUUGAUCCUGAUAUUAUCUUGACUCUAUCUAUUGUAUUACAUAUGACAUUGGUGAUCAAACUUGGCAGUUGGUCAAGAUUUGAUCCCAAUGAGGUGAUCUAACCUCUCCAUUGAGUUUGUGUGUUGUUCAAGAACACA